UUCCUACGGGAGCAGCAGUGGGGAAUAUUGCACAAUGGGCGAAAGCCUGAUGCAGCAACGCCGCGUGAAGGAAGAAGGGUUUCGGCUCGUAAACUUCUAUUAACAGGGACGAAAGAAAUGACGGUACCUGAGUAAGAAGCACCGGCUAAAUACGUGCCAGCAGCCGCGGUAAUACGUAUGGUGCAAGCGUUAUCCGGAUUUACUGGGUGUAAAGGGAGCGCAGGCGGCACGGCGAGCCUGGUGUGAAAGCCCGCGGCCCAACCGCGGGA
Molecule: ribosomal RNA, 269 nt
Filed under: uncultured bacterium
Lineage: Bacteria
Description: partial 16S ribosomal RNA
Rfam family: Bacterial small subunit ribosomal RNA
Source: RNAcentral